This is a long non-coding RNA of Apis laboriosa (Himalayan honeybee), 1008 nucleotides long. RefSeq lists it as uncharacterized. The transcript has 3 exons. NCBI's taxonomy places the organism in Eukaryota, Metazoa, Arthropoda, Insecta, Hymenoptera, Apidae. The record is from RefSeq and is a predicted model, not a curated record.
UAUGGAAUCAGAUAGUAAUACAGCUGUACCGUUAGAUGUCGUAUUCGACGGUGUAUACAUUAUCGAACGUCGCCGUCUACCUGGUUCAAUUUGCUGGAAAGGAAUACUUGAUUCAUUUCUGGACAAGGCUCGCAAUCGGUUUUACACAGUUCCACAUUGCAUUCGAUGAAUAGAUCCAUCACAUCGGGGAAUUUGAAAGCUUGGAAAUCGAAGCCAGGAUCCCCUUCUACAGAUACAACUAAAGUCAUGGUCUCUCCGAUUUUAACGAGUCCAUCGGCAGUAGGCGCGAAUGGUCCUCGUCCCACUUGUAUAUCCAAUUUAGCGGUUGCUGUGUCACCGCUGAACGUCACUAUUUCCUGAUUCAACAUAUCUACUGAGAAAUUCACCGUCAAGGCUUUGUUAAUGUUCCCUUCCCACAGACAACGAACUCUUCGCACUGUAUCCCAAACCUCUUGUAUUCCUGGUUCGUUCUAAACAGAGAGAAGAAAGAAAGUUAAGUGAUUCAGAUUUUAUCGAAAUUGUGCAAAGUUUGAAAUGAAAUUUUACCUGCAAAACUAAAACAUUUUCAAGAUAUGCCUGACCAGCUUCACCUGCGAAAUCGUUGAUGAAUUGAGUACCGCAGGAAUCCAAACUGACCGUGAACGAAUAUUUCGUCUGCCCAGAAUUUUGCUCGACAUAUCUACAUUCUGGAUUCGUAUAAAAUCCCUGCGAAUAUGUAAAGGAUGAAUAUAAAAUAUGUGAUAAAGAUGAGUAUGACAAUUCAAAAUAUCAUAUUCCUUAUUUACUUUCGAAUAAAUAACACCAUCGAAAGCGCGAUUGAACUCGAUGUUGAUAGUCAUCAUAGUCUUACUGCACUCCACAUCGAGGGAAUGAAUGUGUGGAGGAUGUUUUAAAUCAUCUUCUGUCGCACCUUCACCUAUCGUCGUUCCAGAACCGCUUGUUCCUACAAUGACGAAUAAAAUAUGAAUUACAAUCUCUUCGUGACUUGCAUUGUCAUCGAAUAUAAUC